This 468-nucleotide ribosomal RNA is filed under the name uncultured bacterium. RNAcentral describes it as "partial 16S ribosomal RNA". It matches the Rfam family "Bacterial small subunit ribosomal RNA", at positions 28 to 507 of the family's 1533-position model. The record is from RNAcentral.
GACGAACGCUGGCGGCGUGCUUAACACAUGCAAGUCGAACGGAAAGGCCCUGCUUUUGUGGGGUGCUCGAGUGGCGAACGGGUGAGUAACACGUGAGUAACCUGCCCUUGACUUUGGGAUAACUUCAGGAAACUGGGGCUAAUACCGGAUAGGAGCUCCUGCUGCAUGGUGGGGGUUGGAAAGUUUCGGCGGUUGGGGAUGGACUCGCGGCUUAUCAGCUUGUUGGUGGGGUAGUGGCUUACCAAGGCUUUGACGGGUAGCCGGCCUGAGAGGGUGACCGGCCAAAUUGGGACUGGGAAACGGCCCAGACUCCUACGGGAGGCAGCAGUGGGGAAUAUUGCACAAGGGGCGGAAGCCUGAUGCAGCAACGCCGCGUGCGGGAUGACGGCCUUCGGGUUGUAAACCGCUUUCGCCUGUGACGAAGCGUGAGUGACGGUAAUGGGUAAAGAAGCACCGGCUAACUACGUG